RNAcentral lists this ribosomal RNA (2903 nucleotides) under Escherichia coli. RNAcentral describes it as "23S ribosomal RNA". It matches the Rfam family "Bacterial large subunit ribosomal RNA". Lineage: Bacteria; Pseudomonadati; Pseudomonadota; Gammaproteobacteria; Enterobacterales; Enterobacteriaceae. RNAcentral also lists the same sequence under 1 other name. The record is from RNAcentral.
GGUUAAGCGACUAAGCGUACACGGUGGAUGCCCUGGCAGUCAGAGGCGAUGAAGGACGUGCUAAUCUGCGAUAAGCGUCGGUAAGGUGAUAUGAACCGUUAUAACCGGCGAUUUCCGAAUGGGGAAACCCAGUGUGAUUCGUCACACUAUCAUUAACUGAAUCCAUAGGUUAAUGAGGCGAACCGGGGGAACUGAAACAUCUAAGUACCCCGAGGAAAAGAAAUCAACCGAGAUUCCCCCAGUAGCGGCGAGCGAACGGGGAGGAGCCCAGAGCCUGAAUCAGUGUGUGUGUUAGUGGAAGCGUCUGGAAAGGCGCGCGAUACAGGGUGACAGCCCCGUACACAAAAAUGCACAUACUGUGAGCUCGAUGAGUAGGGCGGGACACGUGGUAUCCUGUCUGAAUAUGGGGGGACCAUCCUCCAAGGCUAAAUACUCCUGACUGACCGAUAGUGAACCAGUACCGUGAGGGAAAGGCGAAAAGAACCCCGGCGAGGGGAGUGAAAAAGAACCUGAAACCGUGUACGUACAAGCAGUGGGAGCCUCUUUUAUGGGGUGACUGCGUACCUUUUGUAUAAUGGGUCAGCGACUUAUAUUCUGUAGCAAGGUUAACCGAAUAGGGGAGCCGAAGGGAAACCGAGUCUUAACCGGGCGUUAAGUUGCAGGGUAUAGACCCGAAACCCGGUGAUCUAGCCAUGGGCAGGUUGAAGGUUGGGUAACACUAACUGGAGGACCGAACCGACUAAUGUUGAAAAAUUAGCGGAUGACUUGUGGCUGGGGGUGAAAGGCCAAUCAAACCGGGAGAUAGCUGGUUCUCCCCGAAAGCUAUUUAGGUAGCGCCUCGUGAAUUCAUCUCCGGGGGUAGAGCACUGUUUCGGCAAGGGGGUCAUCCCGACUUACCAACCCGAUGCAAACUGCGAAUACCGGAGAAUGUUAUCACGGGAGACACACGGCGGGUGCUAACGUCCGUCGUGAAGAGGGAAACAACCCAGACCGCCAGCUAAGGUCCCAAAGUCAUGGUUAAGUGGGAAACGAUGUGGGAAGGCCCAGACAGCCAGGAUGUUGGCUUAGAAGCAGCCAUCAUUUAAAGAAAGCGUAAUAGCUCACUGGUCGAGUCGGCCUGCGCGGAAGAUGUAACGGGGCUAAACCAUGCACCGAAGCUGCGGCAGCGACACUGUGUGUUGUUGGGUAGGGGAGCGUUCUGUAAGCCUGUGAAGGUGUACUGUAAGGUAUGCUGGAGGUAUCAGAAGUGCGAAUGCUGACAUAAGUAACGAUAAAGCGGGUGAAAAGCCCGCUCGCCGGAAGACCAAGGGUUCCUGUCCAACGUUAAUCGGGGCAGGGUGAGUCGACCCCUAAGGCGAGGCCGAAAGGCGUAGUCGAUGGGAAACAGGUUAAUAUUCCUGUACUUGGUGUUACUGCGAAGGGGGGACGGAGAAGGCUAUGUUGGCCGGGCGACGGUUGUCCCGGUUUAAGCGUGUAGGCUGGUUUUCCAGGCAAAUCCGGAAAAUCAAGGCUGAGGCGUGAUGACGAGGCACUACGGUGCUGAAGCAACAAAUGCCCUGCUUCCAGGAAAAGCCUCUAAGCAUCAGGUAACAUCAAAUCGUACCCCAAACCGACACAGGUGGUCAGGUAGAGAAUACCAAGGCGCUUGAGAGAACUCGGGUGAAGGAACUAGGCAAAAUGGUGCCGUAACUUCGGGAGAAGGCACGCUGAUAUGUAGGUGAAGUCCCUCGCGGAUGGAGCUGAAAUCAGUCGAAGAUACCAGCUGGCUGCAACUGUUUAUUAAAAACACAGCACUGUGCAAACACGAAAGUGGACGUAUACGGUGUGACGCCUGCCCGGUGCCGGAAGGUUAAUUGAUGGGGUCAGCGCAAGCGAAGCUCUUGAUCGAAGCCCCGGUAAACGGCGGCCGUAACUAUAACGGUCCUAAGGUAGCGAAAUUCCUUGUCGGGUAAGUUCCGACCUGCACGAAUGGCGUAAUGAUGGCCAGGCUGUCUCCACCCGAGACUCAGUGAAAUUGAACUCGCUGUGAAGAUGCAGUGUACCCGCGGCAAGACGGAAAGACCCCGUGAACCUUUACUAUAGCUUGACACUGAACAUUGAGCCUUGAUGUGUAGGAUAGGUGGGAGGCUUUGAAGUGUGGACGCCAGUCUGCAUGGAGCCGACCUUGAAAUACCACCCUUUAAUGUUUGAUGUUCUAACGUGGACCCGUGAUCCGGGUUGCGGACAGUGUCUGGUGGGUAGUUUGACUGGGGCGGUCUCCUCCUAAAGAGUAACGGAGGAGCACGAAGGUUGGCUAAUCCUGGUCGGACAUCAGGAGGUUAGUGCAAUGGCAUAAGCCAGCUUGACUGCGAGCGUGACGGCGCGAGCAGGUGCGAAAGCAGGUCAUAGUGAUCCGGUGGUUCUGAAUGGAAGGGCCAUCGCUCAACGGAUAAAAGGUACUCCGGGGAUAACAGGCUGAUACCGCCCAAGAGUUCAUAUCGACGGCGGUGUUUGGCACCUCGAUGUCGGCUCAUCACAUCCUGGGGCUGAAGUAGGUCCCAAGGGUAUGGCUGUUCGCCAUUUAAAGUGGUACGCGAGCUGGGUUUAGAACGUCGUGAGACAGUUCGGUCCCUAUCUGCCGUGGGCGCUGGAGAACUGAGGGGGGCUGCUCCUAGUACGAGAGGACCGGAGUGGACGCAUCACUGGUGUUCGGGUUGUCAUGCCAAUGGCACUGCCCGGUAGCUAAAUGCGGAAGAGAUAAGUGCUGAAAGCAUCUAAGCACGAAACUUGCCCCGAGAUGAGUUCUCCCUGACCCUUUAAGGGUCCUGAAGGAACGUUGAAGACGACGACGUUGAUAGGCCGGGUGUGUAAGCGCAGCGAUGCGUUGAGCUAACCGGUACUAAUGAACCGUGAGGCUUAACCUU